AUUGAACGCUGGCGGCAGGCCUAACACAUGCAGGUCGAGCGGAUGAAGGGAGCUUGCUCCUGGAUUCAGCGGCGGACGGGUGAGUAAUGCCUAGGAAUCUGCCUGGUAGUGGGGGAUAACGUCCGGAAACGGGCGCUAAUACCGCAUACGUCCUGAGGGAGAAAGUGGGGGAUCCUCGGACCUCACGCUAUCAGAUGAGCCUAGGUCGGAUUAGCUAGUUGGUGGGGUAAAGGCCUACCAAGGCGACGAUCCGUAACUGGUCUGAGAGGAUGAUCAGUCACACUGGAACUGAGACACGGUCCAGACUCCUACGGGAGGCAGCAGUGGGGAAUAUUGGACAAUGGGCGAAAGCCUGAUCCAGCCAUGCCGCGUGUGUGAAGAAGGUCUUCGGAUUGUAAAGCACUUUAAGUUGGGAGGAAGGGCAGUAAGUUAAUACCUUGCUGUUUUGACGUUACCAACAGAAUAAGCACCGGCUAACUUCGUG
This 484-nucleotide ribosomal RNA is filed under the name uncultured bacterium. RNAcentral describes it as "partial 16S ribosomal RNA". It matches the Rfam family "Bacterial small subunit ribosomal RNA", at positions 30 to 507 of the family's 1533-position model. The record is from RNAcentral.